This 379-nucleotide long non-coding RNA is filed under the name Marmota marmota marmota (Alpine marmot). RNAcentral's name for it is "lncRNA (ENSMMMG00000023007.1)". Lineage: Eukaryota; Metazoa; Chordata; Mammalia; Rodentia; Sciuridae. The record is from RNAcentral.
CAGCGCUUUCGGCGCCAUUUUCGAGUGAUGCCUGAUCUCAUCAAUCUAGCGGGAGAGACGGGAUAACCUGUCUUGAGCGUAUAGUGCCACUAGCGCUCCGCUGAAAAACCACUAAAAAAAAAAAAAAUCACCAAAAAUAACUUGGAGCAAAAGACAAUCCGCGAAGCUUCGCCAGGGUUGACGCAGUGGGUUUUGACCUUUAGGAGAGAGCCAAUUCUGGAAAACAAUCUAACUUCUUUGAUUGAAUACACACAUAAUGCUUUGGAACAUGAUAGGAGAUUAAGCUGGGAGCAAGGGCUAGGAGAUUGCUGCUGCCUGUCAGCUGUUCUACAGAAUAGCAUCAAUAUUCAGAAAUGAUCGUCAAAGAAGCCUGCACCCA